UAAAUCAAGCGUUUAAGGGCGAUUGGCGGAUGCCUUGGCACUGUAAGACGAUGAAGGACGUGGUAUACUGCGAUAAGUUUCGGGGAGCUGUAUGCAAGCUUUGAUCCGAAAAUUUCCGAAUGGGGUAACCCAACACUUCGUGUGUUACUUUAUACUGAAUACAUAGGUAUAAAGAGUGAACCUGGAGAACUGAAACAUCUAAGUAACCAGAGGAAAAGAAAUCAAUUGAGACUCCGUGAGUAGUGGCGAGCGAAAGCGGACUAGGCCAGCAACUUAGUAUUAGACAAUUUGAAUAGUUUGGAAAAACUAACCACAGAGGGUGAUAGUCCCGUAAAAGUAAUGCUAAUCUAAGUUCAUGAGUAGAGCGGGACACGUGAAAUCUUGCUUGAAUUUUGGGGGACCACCCUCUAAGCCUAAGUACUCUACAGUGACCGAUAGUGAACUAGUACCGUGAGGGAAAGGUGAAAAGAACCCCUAUUAGGGGAGUGAAAUAGAACCUGAAACCGAUUGCCUACAAACAGUCGAAGCUCUUUUUAGAGUGACGGCGUACCUUUUGUAUAAUGGGUCAGUGACUUAAUUUGUACAGCAAGCUUAAGCCGAUUAGGUGGAGGCGCAGCGAAAGCGAGUCUUAAUAGGGCGUUUAGUUGUAUGAAUUAGACCCGAAAACGAAUGAGCUUACCAUGAGCAGGUUGAAAGUAGGGUAACACCUACCGGAGGACCGAACCAGUUGACGUUGAAAAGUCUUUGGAUGACUUGUGGUAAGGGGUGAAAGGCCAACCAAAUUCGUAGAUAGCUGGUUUUCCGCGAAAACUAUUUAGGUAGUGCGUUGAAUAAACAGACUUUUGGAGGUAGAGCACUAAAUGGGCUAGGGGAGAGAAAUCUCUACCAAACCUAAUAAAACUCCGAAUGCCGAAAGUCAUUCCUCAACAGACAGACUGUGGGUGCUAAGGUCCAUGGUCGAGAGGGGAACAGCCCAGAUCACCAGAUAAGGUCCCUAAAUCAUGAUUAAGUGUGAAAGGAUGUGGAGACUCCUUAACAGCCGGGAGGUUGGCUUAGAAGCAGCCAUCCUUUAAAGAUAGCGUAACAGCUCACCGGUCUAAUAGAGUUUCUGCGCCUAAGAUGUAACGGGGCUCAAAUCAUGUACCGAAUCUGUGGGUGUAUAAAGUUUUCGAAUUUUAUACGCGGUAGCGGAACGUUCUGUAAGCCUGCGAAGGGAUACCUGUGAGGGAUCCUGGAGGUAUCAGAAGUGCGAAUGCUGACAUAAGUAACGAUUAACAGAGUGAAAAACUCUGUCGCCGAAAAUCCAAGGGUUUCUGCGCAAGGUUAAUCCGCGCAGGGUUAGUCGGCCCCUAAGACGAGGGCGAAAGCCGUAGUCGAUGGGAACUAGGUUAAUAUUCCUAGACCAGAUGGUAGUGACGGAUUUCGUAAGUUGUUAACUCUUAAUGGAUUGAGUUAGCCGCGAAGAAGUUCCAGGAAAUAGCUCCAUCAUUAGACCGUACCCGAAACCGACACAGGUGGAUUAUUAGAGUAUAAUUAGGCGCUUGAGAGAAUGAUGUUGAAGGAACUCGGCAAAUUGCCUCUGUAACUUCGGAAGAAAGAGGACCCAUUUUUAGGCAACUAUAAGUGGGUGGCACAAGCCAGGGAGAAGCGACUGUUUAUCAAAAACACAGGGCUCUGCUAACACGUAAGUGGAUGUAUAGGGUCUGACGCCUGCCCGGUGCCGGAAGGUUAAUGCGAUGGGUGCAAGCUCAUUUCUGAAGCCCCGGUGAACGGCGGCCGUAACUAUAACGGUCCUAAGGUA
This 1801-nucleotide ribosomal RNA is filed under the name uncultured marine bacterium HF4000_APKG3108. Its description in RNAcentral is "bacterial LSU rRNA". It matches the Rfam family "Bacterial large subunit ribosomal RNA", at positions 1 to 1958 of the family's 2925-position model. The record is from RNAcentral.